RNAcentral lists this long non-coding RNA (672 nucleotides) under Trifolium pratense (red clover). Its description in RNAcentral is "long non-coding RNA (TPRA_LNC008443)". Lineage: Eukaryota; Viridiplantae; Streptophyta; Magnoliopsida; Fabales; Fabaceae. The record is from RNAcentral.
CUACUUCCAUGUGUGGAUGAUGGAGUGGGAAUAUUGUUUAGUAAGAACUUCAUAAUUGCGAUAAAUGAUUACUGUUGCCUUUUGAUGAAGAUUACCUGAACAUUACUUAUUACCAGCUAUUAAUUUGGUAUUUUCUUAUUUUACUGUGGCAUUAUGAUCAUGACAUUGAUGGAGUGUUUCUAAGUCCUUGUUUCACAUUUCAGUUCUUUAGUUGGUGCAAUUUUAUUUGCCAGCAACAUUUCUCUAGCCGUAUAAGCUUUGAAUAAUAAUUUUUUUUGUUAUAAGAACGUAACACAUAGAUGCUUAUUUUGACAAUUAUGUCUUCCAAAUUUUGAAACAAUCAAAUUCUUUUUAUUUUCACGGUGGUGCAGUUUCAAUCUUCAUACUGUCACUUGUAUAUGAAUGCUGCUCAUAUUUAGUCAUUUGGAAUCUUGAGAGUUCAAGUACUGGACGGUGGUCCCUAAAUAAUGAAUCAAGUCUUCUCAUCUCAUAAAUUGCUUAAGGUAUAAACCAAUCAUUCAUGAUCUAAUGAUAGCUCUUCACAACAGGGAACUCCGGCGACCUUCUCUGGGAGUUUAUGCUACAAACUUUUACACAGCUGAAAUAUAUUUCAUAGAAAAGGUUAUUCAAAAGAAUCCGAGUAUUUGCAAUGGAGUUUUUGUUGAGAAGGUA